Haliotis rubra (blacklip abalone) is the source of this 529-nucleotide long non-coding RNA. RefSeq lists it as uncharacterized. Lineage: Eukaryota; Metazoa; Mollusca; Gastropoda; Lepetellida; Haliotidae. The record is from RefSeq and is a predicted model, not a curated record. The transcript has 2 exons.
CGUCCCUUGGUGCGUCGUCUGCUCGGCUGGCCUUCCAGUGCAAAUGUCUUCCACACAAGUUUCAAGUUUUUCCUCAACAGAAAUUCGCACCUGCUGUCCUCGGCACUGUCGUCGGCCUUUUCCAGACAUUCUGGAGACAUUACCAGAUCCAAUUGUGAUAGUAGGGAAAGAACAUGCAACUAAAGGCUAUGGGUAUCGACGCAUCUUACGAACCGGCUUCAUUUGGGCUUCCAAGACACCGUUACGGAUGCAAAGAGGGCACCGAGACCUUUCGGACGCAGAUCCGACUAAGUGCGUACAUGGGAUGUUGGUGUAGACAGAACAUUGAAAUCACACAGCUCCAUGUUUUCACAUACCUUUACUAAUAUAAAGCCAUCAUAUUUGGCCGCAAAUGUGUAUACUUUCAUUUGUAUAUUUAUUACACCACGAACAUGCAUGACCGAUUGUUUCUUUAUUUCGACUUGUACAAUACUUUUUAUGUUGUGGGAAUUGUGCAAAGUUUAUGUGACUGAAUAAACGUUAAUUUUUG